This 449-nucleotide ribosomal RNA is filed under the name uncultured bacterium. RNAcentral's name for it is "partial 16S ribosomal RNA". It matches the Rfam family "Bacterial small subunit ribosomal RNA", at positions 329 to 794 of the family's 1533-position model. The record is from RNAcentral.
GGCCAGACUCCUACGGGAGGCAGCAGUGGGGGAUAUUGCACAAUGGGGGGAACCCUGAUGCAGCGACGCCGCGUGGGUGAAGGAGCGUUUCGGCGCGUAAAGCCCUAUCGGCAGGGAAGAAGGAGGACGGUACCUGACUAAGAAGCCCCGGCUAACUACGUGCCAGCAGCCGCGGUAAUACGUAGGGGGCAAGCGUUAUCCGGAUUUACUGGGUGUAGAGGGAGCGUAGACGGCCAUGCAAGCCUGAUGUGAAAGGUGUGGGCACAACCCGCACACUGCAUUGGGAACUGUAUGGCUAGAGUGUUGGAGGGGCAGGCGGAAUUCCUGGUGUAGCGGUGAAAUGCGUAGAUAUCAGGAGGAACACCGGUGGCGAAGGCGGCCUGCUGGACUGCAACUGACGUUGAGGCCCGAAAGCGUGGGGAGCAAACAGGAUUAGAUACCCGCGUAAC